GAAUUAAGUUAGGGAACUAGAGUCCCAUUAAACUGGAACUCUCUUCGCUUAUCCAUGCAUGGGAUGCCCAACCAAAUUACCGUGGCCUUUUAUUUUAGCAUGAAAGAAAGGAAAAAAAAGUGGCGCACAGACUAAAGUGGGUGGCACAAGAGUCCUUCUCUAGAAGGACUCUUAACAAACUCCACAAAACCCUAUUUGAUAAGGUUUAAAAAGGGGGUGCCUCGAUAAACCAUCUCAUGACGAAAUAUGAGAGCUUGGUGGUGUGUAAGAAAGAAAAGAAAAGG
RNAcentral lists this long non-coding RNA (284 nucleotides) under Elaeis guineensis (African oil palm). RNAcentral's name for it is "long non-coding RNA (EGUI_LNC024214)". Lineage: Eukaryota; Viridiplantae; Streptophyta; Magnoliopsida; Arecales; Arecaceae. The record is from RNAcentral.